Molecule: ribosomal RNA, 253 nt
Filed under: uncultured bacterium
Lineage: Bacteria
Description: partial 16S ribosomal RNA
Rfam family: Bacterial small subunit ribosomal RNA
Source: RNAcentral
UACGGAGGGUGCAAGCGUUGUCCGGAAUCACUGGGCGUAAAGGGCGCGUAGGCGGCUCAUGAAGGCUGUGGUGAAAGUCCGGGGCUCAACCUCGGAUCGGCCGUGGCGACUCGUGGGCUGGAGCACUGUAGAGGCGGGUGGAAUUCCGCGUGUAGCAGUGAAAUGCGUAGAUAUGCGGAGGAACACCGAUGGCGAAGGCAAUCCCCUGGGCCUGCACUGACGCUCAUGCACGAAAGCGUGGGGAGCAAACAGG